CGUAGGUGGCAAGCGUUGUCCGGAUUUAUUGGGUUUAAAGGGUGCGUAGGCGGCCCUGUAAGUCAGUGGUGAAAUAUCUCAGCUUAACUGAGAGGGUGCCAUUGAUACUGCGGGGCUUGAGUACAGACGAGGUAGGCGGAAUUGACGGUGUAGCGGUGAAACGCAUAGAUAUCGUCAAGAACUCCGAUAGCGAAGGCAGCUUACUAAGCUGUAACUGACGCUGAGGCACGAAAGUGUGGGGAUCAAACAGGAUUAGAUACCCUGGUAGUCCACACUGUAAACGUUGAUGACUCGAUGUUGGCGAUACGCAGCCAGCGUCCAAGAGCAAUCGUUAAGUCAUCCACCUGGGGAGUACGCCGGCAACGGUG
This 368-nucleotide ribosomal RNA is filed under the name uncultured organism. RNAcentral describes it as "bacterial SSU rRNA". It matches the Rfam family "Bacterial small subunit ribosomal RNA", at positions 526 to 896 of the family's 1533-position model. The record is from RNAcentral.